Molecule: long non-coding RNA, 915 nt
Filed under: Salvia miltiorrhiza (redroot sage)
Lineage: Eukaryota; Viridiplantae; Streptophyta; Magnoliopsida; Lamiales; Lamiaceae
Description: long non-coding RNA (SMIL_LNC000293)
Source: RNAcentral
UCGAUAAUAAUACAAAUUAGAUUUUUACUACUCCACCACCUGCCACCCCCCCUAAGUUCAAGAAAAUGGGAAUAACAAUAAGGUAUGGAGACAUGUGCUGCACACUCCCCUAUCCCCUCUUGAGCUUGCUGCACCUUUUCUUUUCCCACGCCUAUGCAGCAGGCUGCCAUGCCCAAGUACACCUAAAUAUGUCAAUCAGCCACCCUAGAAUGUACCUCCUCCCAUGUAUACAAGCUCCCAGCCAAACCACCUCGUCAUUCAAAACAGCCAACAUUGUUGCAUUCUCUUCAUUCUUCAUUUGAGGACUGCACAAGGAGAAGUGAGCCUUUAAUUCAUCCUACCAAGUAUUCUCAAGGUAAGCUUGUCUUCAAUGCUCCACCUUCUUCCCUUAUUCCACCUGCAUUAAUGCAAGAACAACUUUAUUAUUUCAGUUCGAUCUGCUGCUUCAUUUAAUCCAACCACAACAGCCAACAAACACCAAAGCAAGCAUCAUUCAAGGUAUUUAUACUACCUCAGUUAUCCAAUCGAGUUUGCAUUCAUACCAACGAGCAUAAUCAUGUUUUACCACUACAUCAAACAGUCCAUGUUAUGUAUAGCAAUAGAAAGACUUAUGUGUAUACUGCCACUGCACUCUAGAACACAAACCAUGAGGACCUCACACAUAGCACAUGAAUGAACGAACAAGGAUAGCGAUAGCAUGCUCACUGACAGAGUGUUAAACCCUGAUUCUUUCUUACUCAUAGAAGCUUAAGCUUAUCGAUACUCAGACAUGGUAGGAAGAAGACGAGUCAAGGAUAUAACUUAGCUUUAGGAGGAAGGGACGCGGCCUGUUCAGGCUGAUCAAGAGACGACGAGCAGCAGCGACUCGGUGCUUGGCGGUGGGUUCAGGCGAGAAGCUCGCCUUGUUGCUCCACG